GGAAAGGCGCGCGAUACAGGGUGACAGCCCCGUACACAAAAAUGCACAUGCUGUGAGCUCGAUGAGUAGGGCGGGACACGUGGUAUCCUGUCUGAAUAUGGGGGGACCAUCCUCCAAGGCUAAAUACUCCUGACUGACCGAUAGUGAACCAGUACCGUGAGGGAAAGGCGAAAAGAACCCCGGCGAGGGGAGUGAAAAAGAACCUGAAACCGUGUACGUACAAGCAGUGGGAGCACGCUUAGGCGUGUGACUGCGUACCUUUUGUAUAAUGGGUCAGCGACUUAUAUUCUGUAGCAAGGUUAACCGAAUAGGGGAGCCGAAGGGAAACCGAGUCUUAACUGGGCGUUAAGUUGCAGGGUAUAGACCCGAAACCCGGUGAUCUAGCCAUGGGCAGGUUGAAGGUUGGGUAACACUAACUGGAGGACCGAACCGACUAAUGUUGAAAAAUUAGCGGAUGACUUGUGGCUGGGGGUGAAAGGCCAAUCAAACCGGGAGAUAGCUGGUUCUCCCCGAAAGCUAUUUAGGUAGCGCCUCGUGAAUUCAUCUCCGGGGGUAGAGCACUGUUUCGGCAAGGGGGUCAUCCCGACUUACCAACCCGAUGCAAACUGCGAAUACCGGAGAAUGUUAUCACGGGAGACACACGGCGGGUGCUAACGUCCGUCGUGAAGAGGGAAACAACCCAGACCGCCAGCUAAGGUCCCAAAGUCAUGGUUAAGUGGGAAACGAUGUGGGAAGGCCCAGACAGCCAGGAUGUUGGCUUAGAAGCAGCCAUCAUUUAAAGAAAGCGUAAUAGCUCACUGGUCGAGUCGGCCUGCGCGGAAGAUGUAACGGGGCUAAACCAUGCACCGAAGCUGCGGCAGCGACGCUGAUGCGUUGUUGGGUAGGGGAGCGUUCUGUAAGCCUGCGAAGGUGUGCUGUGAGGCAUGCUGGAGGUAUCAGAAGUGCGAAUGCUGACAUAAGUAACGAUAAAGCGGGUGAAAAGCCCGCUCGCCGGAAGACCAAGGGUUCCUGUCCAACGUUAAUCGGGGCAGGGUGAGUCGACCCCUAAGGCGAGGCCGAAAGGCGUAGUCGAUGGGAAACAGGUUAAUAUUCCUGUACUUGGUGUUACUGCGAAGGGGGGACGGAGAAGGCUAUGUUGGCCGGGCGACGGUUGUCCCGGUUUAAGCGUGUAGGCUGGUUUUCCAGGCAAAUCCGGAAAAUCAAGGCUGAGGCGUGAUGACGAGGCACUGCGGUGCUGAAGCAACAAAUGCCCUGCUUCCAGGAAAAGCCUCUAAGCAUCAGGUAACAUCAAAUCGUACCCCAAACCGACACAGGUGGUCAGGUAGAGAAUACCAAGGCGCUUGAGAGAACUCGGGUGAAGGAACUAGGCAAAAUGGUGCCGUAACUUCGGGAGAAGGCACGCUGAUAUGUAGGUGAAGUCCCUCGCGGAUGGAGCUGAAAUCAGUCGAAGAUACCAGCUGGCUGCAACUGUUUAUUAAAAACACAGCACUGUGCAAACACGAAAGUGGACGUAUACGGUGUGACGCCUGCCCGGUGCCGGAAGGUUAAUUGAUGGGGUUAGCGCAAGCGAAGCUCUUGAUCGAAGCCCCGGUAAACGGCGGCCGUAACUAUAACGGUCCUAAGGUAGCGAAAUUCCUUGUCGGGUAAGUUCCGACCU
This 1657-nucleotide ribosomal RNA is filed under the name Escherichia coli. RNAcentral's name for it is "partial 23S ribosomal RNA". It matches the Rfam family "Bacterial large subunit ribosomal RNA", at positions 344 to 1989 of the family's 2925-position model. Lineage: Bacteria; Pseudomonadati; Pseudomonadota; Gammaproteobacteria; Enterobacterales; Enterobacteriaceae. The record is from RNAcentral.